Long non-coding RNA from Ictalurus punctatus (channel catfish), 646 nucleotides. The record is from Ensembl. Lineage: Eukaryota; Metazoa; Chordata; Actinopteri; Siluriformes; Ictaluridae.
GGGAUUGUGCUGAGGCUGCUCAUGUUUGUGGUGUGUGUUGGAGGAGCAGCAGAGUUCAGAACGCGUACAGGCGCACGAGGCGCCGCUUUCACGAGAUUAAGACGUGAGAGCAACACAGCUAAACCUGCAGUAAGUACUGGAUUUUAUAAUACAUACAGUAUUUUAUUGUUUUUAUCAUUCACUUGUGAGGACAAACCCCAUGCCUGCCAAUCUUUUCCACUACGGACCAAUAUUACUGGCACUACUGAAAAUAUGUUAAAUGAAACCAUGUUUAUUUUAAGAAUAUGGACACUGGUCAGUCCUGCCGAGGAUUUUAGGCUAAUAAUAAUUUUAUAAGGAUAAUGAGUCUUUAUUGGUCACAUAUACGUUAUAGCACUCUGAAAUCCUUUUCUUUGCAUACCCCAGCAUGUUGGGAAGUUGGGGUCAGAGUGCAGGGUCAGCCAAGAUGCAGUGCCCCUGAAGCAGAGAGGGUUGAGGGUCUUGCUCAAGGGCCCAACAGUGGCAGCUUGGCAGUGCAGGGGUUUGAACCACCAACCUUCCGAUCAGUAACCUAGAGCCUUAACCACUAAACCACCACUAUCCCCCCAAUGUAAGCAUAUGGAAUUGUUCUCUUUUUUUCUGAAAAUGCGGAUUUGCUACAUCAUUU